AGAAGACAACAAAAGUCCAUGAAGAACAGGGCACUUCUCAGCAACCCUCAAGGAAGCAAUUGAACUAAAGCUUGAAAACCAUGGGGUCACUGAGAGAAGGAGCCUGAAGAGAGAAAAGGAUGAAGGACCCAAAAAAGACUAACAUUUAACAGAUGGGAUGUGAAACAGAACCAGGUACAGAUAAAGAUGAAACAUCCAAUUGCAGAUAUGAAUGACCUAAUUCAAUGGAUGAGUCUGGAAGAGGACCAAGUUCAUGGGAAAGAUCAAAAAUUCAGUUUUGAAGAUGUUGAUGAGAAGAUGAGACAAAACCAUGUAUAGAUGCGGAUGAGCUAAUUAAAUAUAUGAGUCUGGAGCUGAAAGGAAAUGCCUUGACAAGAGAAGUAAAUUUGAGGACCAUCAGUAUACAGAUGUACUUGAAUCCAUCUAUGUAAAUGCAAUCACCCUGGGAGGAAAUUUAGAGUGAGAACAGGACUGCGUGGAAAGACAUUAAAGAAGUUAAAGAAAGAAGAACUAACAAAGGCAGGAGAGAAGAAGAGGACGGAGAGGUAGGAGAGAAACCAGUAAUGUGCGAUGGCAUAGAAAUUAAGGAAGUUUCCAAGAUUGAAGAAGGAGGGAGAGAGGGCUAUGGAAGUCACAGGUUGGAGGUGGUGCCCAGAGCCUGGAAUAAACAUUUACCCUAGUGUUCAUCAGAGAGUGAAUGAGGCCUGGGAAUCCAAGACUUGCCAAAGAUUAUUCUGCCUGGAACAGGUCAAAAUACAGCAAAGGAUAUGAAGGGACACUACAAGAUGGGAAAAUGGGUGCCUCAUUGUUAACUGAUGUGGACAGAUGAUGGGUAACCACAUAAUCUUCUCUACGUCAUUUUUGAUACUACCAAAAAUUCUGGGUUCUUGGCAUCAUAGCAAAACUCAGAUGUAGAGAGAAGCCCCACAAUUAGAUGAAGUAAAAUUUUCCUACUUGAAGUUGAAUUUCACUGAAGUGAAAUCAGGUCACAGAGUCUAAAAUUAAGUUGAUCUAGGAAAACUGAAAAAAAGAGUAUUUAUUCCACAGUUGAAGUGUAGAAAGGAAUUAAUCUAUGCUAUAAUAGUAAUAGUUAAAAUUUAUUGAACUUUUACUAUAUGACAAGAACUUUGAUAAUAUGUUUAUUUGCAUUGACUAGUUCAUUUAAUUCUGACAGAACUUUUUAAUAUACUUAUACAUCACUUAACAAUGAAGACACAUUCUUAGAAAUGCACUUUUAGGUAAUUGUGCCCUUGUGUGAACAUCAUAGAGUGUACAUACACAAACCUAGAUGAUAUUGAUAGCAACAAGAAACAGACAAGGCAGACAUGGAUGGGUCCCUGGUGAAACUCAACCUUCAAGCCAAGAACAGUCUAAAGCCUGAAAACCAAGCAACAGUUACAGAUAGAAUUCACGGACCAGAAUGAGAACUUCCAUUUCCAUCUUACCUACUCUCUCUCUAUUGGUUCUUUCUGAAUGAUGCCUUUUAGCCAAUCAAAUGCUCCCUUUUCCAAGCCCACCCAUAAAUCAAUCAGCAUGCGUUCCCCCCAUUCUAAGUUCAUAAAACCCUGGAUUCAGCCUCAUAGACGGCUACGCUCUUUGGGGUCCCCUCUUGCUGUUGAGAGCUUUUCUUUCAUUCAGUAAAUUCUACUCUGCCUUACCCUGCCUCCAGUGUCCACGUACCUUAUUACUCUUGGCCACGGGACAAGAACCCAUAACUCACUGAACUAUGGGAGCAAAAGAGCUGUAACAUUCCUGUUCACUGAGCCGUGGGCAGGAAGAGUAAAAGAGCUGUAACACUCCUUCCCACCAAACUAUGAGAGUCAAAAAGCCACAACAAUAUAGCCUACUACACAUCUAGGCUAUAUGUAUAGCUUAUUGCUCCUAGGUGACAAACCUAUACAGCAUGUUACUAUACUGAACACUAUAGGCAGUUGUAACACAAUGUUUAAUUUUUUUUAUCUAACUAUAUCUAAACACAGAAGAGGUACAGUAAAAAUAUAGUAUUAUAAUCUUAUGGGACCACCACAGUAUAUAUGGCUCAUUCUUACUCAGAAUGUCAUUAUGCAAUACAUGACUCUAGUUACCAUUAUAAUUUCCAUUUCACAAAUGAGAAAUAUGAAGCAUAGUUAAGAUAAAUGCCUAAGAUCUAUCCAGUUAAAAAGUAGAUGCCGACUAGAACCUAAGUCUGAGACCAUGUUCAUAGCUACUACUCAAUAUCAUAUUAAGAAAUUAAUCUCCCAACCUUCUGGUUCUAGACAGUCUGGGUGGUCUGGACUUUACCCCAUUGCAGUGCACUGGCUCUGCCAAUGGUCAGCCAGAUGGCUUCUUUAAGCAGGUACCUGAUCCCAUUCCUCCUGACUGGGUGAGACCCGUCAACAGGAGUCUCCAGACACCUCCUACAGGAGCAUUUGGGCUGGCAUCAGGUCAGUGCCCGCCCCGCACCCCCAUCACCCCGGGACUGAGCUCCCAGAGGAAGGGGCAGGCUGACAUCUUUUCUGUUUUGGAGUCUUCACUGAUGAUACCUCCAGGUAAGGAGAAAACUGCAGCAACCCUAUAGACAAGUGGCCUGACUAUUAAAAUAAAAACAAACAAAGAGAAAGCAACAACAAUAACAUCAACAACAACAAAAGAUCCCACAAAGAUCCCCAUUCAAAGGUCAGCAACUUCAAAGAUUGAAGGUAGAUAAGCCCACAAAGAUGAGAAAGAAUCAAUGCAAAAACGGUGAAAACUCAAAAAGUCAGGAUGCUUCUUCUCUUGCAAAUUACCGCAACACCUCUCCAGUAAGGGCACAGAACUGGUCUGAGGCUCAGAUGGCUGAACUGACAGAAGUAGGCUUCAGAAGGUGGGUGAUAAUGAACAUCAUUGAGUUAAAGGAACAUGUUUUAACCCAAUGCAAAGAAGCUAAGAAUCAUGAUAAAACAAUAAAGGAGCUAAUAACUAGAAUAGCCAGUUUAGAGAGGAGCAUAAUUGACCUAAUGGAACCGAAACACACAACAUGAGACAUUCACAAUGCAAUCACAAGGAUC
RNAcentral lists this long non-coding RNA (3026 nucleotides) under Homo sapiens (human). Its description in RNAcentral is "non-protein coding lnc-TTLL7-5:4". Lineage: Eukaryota; Metazoa; Chordata; Mammalia; Primates; Hominidae. The record is from RNAcentral.